GUCCUCAAAAGUUAUGAAACUUUGUAGUUGAUAACUUUUUGAUUUGAAAUCAUCUUGUCAUGCAAAAACUAUGUUUAAAUUUCUCAAAUUUGAAAUUCAACUUUUGUAAACGAUCUCGGAUGGAGAAACUCCCUAAAUGAAAAUUAUGGAUCUCAAAAAGUUAUGAAAUUUUGUAGUUGAUAACUUUUUGAUUAGAAAUCAUUUAGAAGCUCAAAUAAUCAAUUUACAUGUGAUUUGAUAUAAUAUAUGAGGAGCCAAAACGGAAUAUAUACAAAAGUGAUGGUGUAGUGCAAUGGAUAAGGUGUAAGGUACUUGUGAGAGAGGUCCUAGGUUAUAGCUGAUGUCAGCCCUUCCUCUAAAAAAUUUUUUUUCCUAUUUUUUCGAGUUUUUUUUAUUUUUGUCUUUGCCGAGUGUCGUCACUCGACAAAGCUUUUGCCGAGUGCUCGAUAAAAAACACUCAGUAAAAACCCCUUUGCCGAUCAGUUUUUUUGCCGUGUGCUCUUGCCGAGUGUUUUUAGGCCAUUGGCGUGUGCCAGAAACACUCGGCAAAGCCUCCGUGUCCAGUAGUGGCGAACCAUCGCCGGAGGAGGGGCGAUACUGAUGGAUGGGUCGUUGGGGGUGGGAGAGGUGAAGGACUCGGAGGAGGUGGAGGAGCCGGCGUGUGAGACUUCGACGUCGAACAGGGGGUUGGCCUCCAAGUCCAUGGCGUGGAGGAACAGACCUGGCAGCGGAGGACGGAGGGCUCAGCGAAGAGCGCCGGUGGGCAAGGAACGGCGAGCAACGAGAGCAGCGGUUGCGGAAGGAAAAGGGCA
This 812-nucleotide long non-coding RNA is filed under the name Sorghum bicolor (sorghum). RNAcentral's name for it is "long non-coding RNA (SBIC_LNC009423)". Lineage: Eukaryota; Viridiplantae; Streptophyta; Magnoliopsida; Poales; Poaceae. The record is from RNAcentral.